AGCAGUGGCAUUUCACACAGAGUGCAGCCAGCCAGUUUCUUUGAUUCUCAGAACUCACAAAGCUAAAACUAAAAAUAUUCUUCAUCUGCUAAAUAUCCAUCAAAAUAUGGAGUUUUCCAACCCCAAUGGAGUCCCCUUCCUGGCCUCUUGAUUGCUGUACCCAGGGAGCCACUAUGACUUCUGCACUUAACAGGAAACCUCGUUCCAAUGAAAUGAGAGUCAUGGCUUGACUUCCACCCACAAUGUGCUCCUGCCUCCACCUCAUCUUUCCCAGACCUGACCACAUCUUCCUGUUCUUGCUGGCCUGACUCACUAGCAAAGGUCUGCAUUUGUGCAUCAUAGCUGAAAAUGUGAGCAACACACCAGAAGUCUGCCUUUGAAGUGCUUCCAGGCUGGUCAAUGGAGGAAAUAUCAGGUUUUUCAUCAGAAACUUCUUUUCAUGCACUAUGAAAUUCAAGUCAAAAACUGGACUUCCAAGGAUUUAGAAAUACCUGAGCAUCCGAGGCACUGGCAGUUAGUAAACUCCGGGUCAAUCCCCAAAUCCCGAGGCCACCCGCUCCCCCAAGUGGUAUGUUUGCCAGGCAUUUCAUAAAAUAACUGUUACUGGUUUUAUUCUAAGCAUCAAAAAUAAAGGUGCAAACCACAAUCUCAGAAAAGUACAAACUA
This is a long non-coding RNA of Cavia porcellus (domestic guinea pig), 666 nucleotides long. RefSeq lists it as uncharacterized. The transcript is spliced from 3 exons. The record is from RefSeq and is a predicted model, not a curated record. Lineage: Eukaryota; Metazoa; Chordata; Mammalia; Rodentia; Caviidae.